UGAGAGAAGAACACUGAUCGUGAACUGUUUCACUUUUUCAUGUAGAAAAGAAAAUCCAGGCAAAUCCAGCAGCCGUGAUGCAGUGAGGAGUUUAGCUCAGGAAGGAGAACCGCACAUACUCUUUCACGUUAGCGUAAAGGUAGAUAAAUACAGAUAGAAAGACAGACAAGCAGGCAGACAGUGUAGAUCGUUCUGUCUGCGUUGCCCCCUCUGGCUGCUAUGGGGAACUACAGCUCUACAGUGCUGCUGCUGAGUUCUGGAUUGUGAUUGCUCAGAAGGUGUUGAUUAAUUUUCUAUAACAGCAGCUCUGACAGUAGUGCAGCUACACAUCACAGGUUUGUAUUCGUUAUAUUAUAUUUGCG
This is a long non-coding RNA of Ictalurus punctatus (channel catfish), 362 nucleotides long. NCBI's taxonomy places the organism in Eukaryota, Metazoa, Chordata, Actinopteri, Siluriformes, Ictaluridae. The record is from Ensembl.